GACGGAGGACGCAAGUGUUAUCCGGAAUCACUGGGCGUAAAGCGUUUGUAGGUGGUUUAAUAAGUCAACUGUUAAAUCUUGAGGCUCAACCUCAAAAUCGCAGUCGAAACUAUUAGGCUAGAGUAUAGUAGGGGUAAAGGGAAUUUCCAGUGGAGCGGUGAAAUGCGUAGAGAUUAGGAAGAACACCAGUGGCGAAGGCGGCUCACUGGGCUGACCUUGACGCUGAGGCGCGAAGGCGUGGGGAGCGAACGGG
This 253-nucleotide ribosomal RNA is filed under the name uncultured bacterium. RNAcentral describes it as "partial 16S ribosomal RNA". It matches the Rfam family "Bacterial small subunit ribosomal RNA", at positions 524 to 776 of the family's 1533-position model. The record is from RNAcentral.